AUGAACGCUGGCGGCGUGCCUAACACAUGCAAGUCGAGCGAAGCGAUUCGGAUGAAGUUUUCGGAUGGAAUCCGAAUUGACUGAGCGGCGGACGGGUGAGUAACGCGUGGGUAACCUGCCUCAUACAGGGGGAUAACAGUUAGAAAUGACUGCUAAUACCGCAUAAGCGCACAGUACCGCAUGGUACGGUGUGAAAAACUCCGGUGGUAUGAGAUGGACCCGCGUCUGAUUAGCUGGUUGGUGAGGUAACGGCUCACCAAGGCGACGAUCAGUAGCCGACCUGAGAGGGUGACCGGCCACAUUGGGACUGAGACACGGCCCAAACUCCUACGGGAGGCAGCAGUGGGGAAUAUUGCACAAUGGGGGAAACCCUGAUGCAGCGACGCCGCGUGAGUGAAGAAGUAUUUCGGUAUGUAAAGCUCUAUCAGCAGGGAAGAAAAUGACGGUACCUGACUAAGAAGCCCCGGCUAACUACGUGCCAGCAGCCGCGGUAAUACGUAGGGGGCAAGCGUUAUCCGGAUUUACUGGGUGUAAAGGGAGCGUAGACGGCGGAGCAAGUCUGAAGUGAAAACCCAGGGCUCAACCCUGGGACUGCUUUGGAAACUGUUUUGCUAGAGUGCUGGAGAGGUAAGUGGAAUUCCUAGUGUAGCGGUGAAAUGCGUAGAUAUUAGGAGGAACACCAGUGGCGAAAGGCGGCUUACUGGACAGUAACUGACGUUGGAGGGCUCGAAAGCGUGGGGAGCAAACAGGAUUAGAUACCCUGGUAGUUCACGCCGUAAACGAUGAAUACUAGGUGUUGGCGAGCAAAGCUUGUCGGUGCCGUCGCAAACGCAAUAAGUAUUCCACCUGGGGAGUACGUUCGCAAGAAUGAAACUCAAAGGAAUUGACGGGGACCCGCACAAGCGGUGGAGCAUGUGGUUUAAUUUGAAGCAACGCGAAGAACCUUACCAAGUCUUGACAUCGGAAUGACCGGGAAGUAACGUUCCCUUCUCUUCGGAGCAUUCCAGACAGGUGGUGCAUGGUUGUCGUCAGCUCGUGUCGUGAGAUGUUGGGUUAAGUCCCGCAACGAGUGCAACCCUUAUCCUUAGUAGCCAGCACGUAGAGGUGGGCACUCUAGGGAGACUGCCAGGGACAACCUGGAGGAAGGUGGGGAUGACGUCAAAUCAUCAUGCCCCUUAUGAUUUGGGCUACACACGUGCUACAAUGGCGUAAACAAAGGGAAGCGACCCUGUGAAGGCGAGCAAAUCUCAAAAAUAACGUCCCAGUUCGGACUGUAGUCUGCAACCCGACUACACGAAGCUGGAAUCGCUAGUAAUCGCGAAUCAGAAUGUCGCGGUGAAUACGUUCCCGGGUCUUGUACACACCGCCCGUCACACCAUGGGAGUCAGCAACGCCCGAAGUCAGUGACCCAACCUUAUGGAGGGAGCUGCCGAAGGCGGGGCAGGUAACUGGGG
Molecule: ribosomal RNA, 1454 nt
Filed under: uncultured organism
Description: SSU rRNA
Rfam family: Bacterial small subunit ribosomal RNA
Source: RNAcentral